RNA transcript from Pecten maximus, 2616 nucleotides. It is a transcript of the gene named peptidyl-prolyl cis-trans isomerase FKBP4-like, with no coding region annotated. The record is from RefSeq and is a predicted model, not a curated record. The transcript has 11 exons. Lineage: Eukaryota; Metazoa; Mollusca; Bivalvia; Pectinida; Pectinidae.
GAUAUCGACGAUCUGGCUUAUCACGUGUGAAAAUAGAAAUUUCCAGCAAACACAGUUGAGACUAGAUAAUAACCGGCGUUUUGUUGUUUCUGGAAGAAAGCUUACACCUCUUCUUUGAAGUGUGCAUUGCAUACAUCUACCGAACAUAAUAUGGAUGCAACACCGGAAAAAAUAGACAUUACGCCUUCGAAAGAUGGCGGAGUACUGAAAGAAAUUUUACGAGAAGGAACUGGUGAAGAUAAGCCUUUAGCCGGCGAUAAAGUGCUCGUACAUUAUGUCGGCACACUUGAAGACGGAUCAGAAUUCGACUCCAGUAGAAGAAGAGGAGACAAAUUUGAAUUUGACUUGGGAAAAGGCAGCGUCAUCAAGUCAUGGGACCUUGGUGUAGCCACUAUGAAGAAGGGAGAAGUCUGUCGACUCACAUGUCGCAGUGACUACGCCUAUGGGGAGAAUGGCUCCCCGCCUAAAAUACCUGCUAAUGCUACGCUUAUAUUUGAAGUAGAACUCUUUGAAUGGAAAGGAGAAGAUAUCUCUGAGAAGAAAGAUGAUUCUGUUAUCCGACACAUUGUACAGGCUGGAGAAGGGUACCAAUCACCGAACGACGGAGCCAGCGUCAAAGUACACUAUGUAGGUCGAUGUGGCAUGACAGUAUUUGACGACCAGCAGGUGGAGUUUAUCCUUGGAGAGGGGGAGGAGGCUGGAGUUAUUGAUGCUCUUGAGGUGGCAAUCAAAAAAAUGAAAAAUAAGGAAAAGUGUCGACUGGAAAUUCAACCGUCAAUGGCCUAUGGAGACGCAGGAAACUCAAAGUUUAACAUUCCACCUAACACUCCCCUUCAGUUUGAUGUUGAAAUGCUAUCAUUUGAAAAGGCUAAAGAAUCUUGGGAGAUGGAUGCUAGUGAGAAGCUGGAACAGGCAGAGAUUAAGAAGUCCAAGGGAACCUCUUACUUCAAGGCUGAGAAGUACAAACUGGCUGUCAAGUUUUACACUGCUGUUGUGUCGCUGUUAGAAAAUGCCACGGGUAUGGACUCGGAGGAAGACUCCAAACGAAAGUCCUCCCUCCUACUCGCCGCCUUUCUUAAUCUGGCUAUGUGUUAUCUCAAGAUGGGGGACUCCCACGAAGCACAUGGUCAGUGUGACAAGGCCCUGGAACAGGACAGCAACAAUGUCAAGGCACUAUUCAGACGUGGACAGGCCCUACAAAACAAAGGCGAUUAUGAUCUGGCUAAAACAGAUUUUGAACAAGUUGUCAAGCUUGACCCUGAGAACAAAGCAGCUAAGAACCAAGUCACAAAGUGUAUACAGAAGAUCAAGGAGUUUAAGGACAAAGAGAAAAAAAUCUACGCUGGAAUGUUCCAGAAAUUCGCAGAGGCAGACAGCAAAAAGCCCCAGCACCAGUAUGAGGAUGGCCUUGCUAGUCUGGGCGAGUGGAAUAAUGAUAUGGCUGCUGGUAUGAUGUCCCUGGAACAGGAGAUGGCUGCCUUUGGUGAAACCAUGCCUGUCCGUGGUACAAACAACCAUGAAACUCCGAAUGGUAGCCACUGAAAACUGGCAAUCCAGCGCCUAAGGGUAGUUACAAUUAGCCUUCAGCAAACCACAGAAGGAUAUAGAAGAGGAUAAGGGACAGUCAGAAGACCUUCAGAAUUCUGACAACAAAUCCACUGUGGAGGAGGAGAAUAUGGAUGCAGGAGAAGAAAGCCAGCCAGUAGAAGCGAGCUGAGGAACAACAUUACACUCAGUGUAACACAAUCAGUGUAGACUUUACACUAUCGGUGUAAUACUAAAUGUUUCAGUGUAAACCACAGGGACUUUGGUACGAAUUCCUAACCCGACAGUUAGUAUAGAAAUCUGGGUCCAAAUAAAUAAUGACCACCACUGAUGGCGCCAUGUUAACUUACCAAUACAAACUGUGGGGAUGGGAAUUUUUCUCUGGUGUAAUACAAUAAGCAUAUCUCUACGUAGUUUUUGUACCGUAUUUGUUUUAGUGAAUUUUUUUUUUUUUUCCUGAGUAGGUAAAGAUUAGAUUACAUUUGUAAUUAUGUACCAGUCUCUGUGUAUUACACAAAUUCCAUGAACUGACUACACUAUGUUACACUGACGAACAUUCUGAAAUGUGUAUGGACCAAACACAGGUCACAAAAUGCUACAGUGUAUAUGUUUAUGUGACUCUACUGUAAGUGAAGUAUAUAGUAGUGUGAAUGUUAGGUGUGAGCUAACUGUUGAAGUCUAACGUACAAAGAGCUGCUACAACAGCAAAAUUGCAUAAUUUUGAUUGUUCAGUAUAGUGUUUAAUUGUCUUAUAACAAAAGAAUCAUCAUCAUUAUCAUUUAUCACUAUUCUCCAUCACAGCUGAUGUGUUUAGAGUGGCUUUGAACAAUUACUUUAUGGGGUAGGUUCAGGGAGUACUUCGUGGAUUAAAACCCAACAAAUAUAUUUAAGUCCGGUAGAUGCUCAAUAACUUAAUGUUUUACUAUGGAGAACAAGGUUAAGUGCUAUGUACGAUGUGUGGCCAUGUCUAUUGCAAGCCUAAAUGAUUUUAAUAUCAAAUUUUCAAGGACCACAAGAUUUGUUGUAAAAUGUGCAAAUUCAGUCAAGCAUAUUAAAAAUGUAUUAAAUCUC